This 250-nucleotide ribosomal RNA is filed under the name uncultured bacterium. RNAcentral describes it as "partial 16S ribosomal RNA". It matches the Rfam family "Bacterial small subunit ribosomal RNA", at positions 524 to 773 of the family's 1533-position model. The record is from RNAcentral.
UACGAAGGGUGCAAGCGUUACUCGGAAUUACUGGGCGUAAAGCGUGCGUAGGUGGUUUGUUAAGUCUGAUGUGAAAGCCCUGGGCUCAACCUGGGAAUUGCAUUGGAUACUGGCAGGCUAGAGUGCGGUAGAGGAUGGCGGAAUUCCCGGUGUAGCAGUGAAAUGCGUAGAGAUCGGGAGGAACAUCUGUGGCGAAGGCGGCCAUCUGGACCAGCACUGACACUGAGGCACGAAAGCGUGGGGAGCAAAC